Non-coding RNA from Equus caballus (horse), 3108 nucleotides. The record is from RefSeq and is a predicted model, not a curated record. NCBI's taxonomy places the organism in Eukaryota, Metazoa, Chordata, Mammalia, Perissodactyla, Equidae.
UUGACCACUCAAUAGCUAUGAUCCCAAAAUGUAAAAAUAAAUAAAGGAAUAAAUUUAAGUGAAUCAACCAAGCCACAUGUGUUUUAUUUUUGUCCUUUGGUUUGUUGGCAUCUAAGUCUGUUCACCAUGAGGAGGUGUGUGUACUCGUGGUUUCAUUUCUACUAGAAGUUCCAUGCCAAAACAGUCCCACCAUCAUAAAGAUUCCAUAACUUCUUGAUUCAGUCGUCUGCGGUGGGGCUCGGAAAUCAAUACUUUCAAAAAGUUCUCCAAGGGACUCACAUCCACGCUCGUCUUGGAAACCAUGAAUUGAGAGCGCUCCACAGCAGGUGGCACUUGUGGUGUGAGAGAGACAAAAGCACUUUACGGCAACACUUUAUGACAACCGCUUCACCAAAGGACUGCUCUCAGGCAGCCCCGCGAUUCCAUCGGGCAGGUUCCGCCCUACCCGGGGCUUCCCAUGCUCGCCCUGCAGGACGCGAGGGUCCACGCUCUCCCUGCGUGGACGCCGGUUUGCAUCCUUCGUACUUCCGGGUGUAGCAGCUGGAUCUUGGGCGCAUGCUCAGUUCACAGCUCCGCUGCCUUGUCUGAUAAACGAGCUGAUUUUCUGUGCUCAGGGGCGCUGGAGAGAAUGUGCCUAAGAAGGCUCCCCUUUCAAUGCCUGGAACACCUCGUCCUGGGUUUUGAACCUGAAUGUUCUUCAUGGUGGACGAAGUCACCACAUGGCCCCUGCGAGCACCGGAGCCUCCUAAGGGGUGUUUAGAAGAGGGAGACUCAGGCGGUUCGGGAGACGACUUCCUUCCGUGUCUCUCCACCUGGAGUCACCCCUCAAGGCUAAGGUGGUGCGAGGUCUACACGUGGAAAGAACUGGACAACGUUGGAUAGUGCGAAUUCAGGGAUAUCCUGGGCGUCAGUUGAUGAUGUUCGAUGAGUAGUGACAUCUGAUUAAUAAUCUUGAUGCACACUUCUCACUGAUGAAGAAACUGAAACCCAGAGGAUUCAACCAAGUUAUCCAAAGUCACGUAUCUGAUGAGUGGAAGAUUCUAGGUCUGUAACUAGGCUUGCUUGAUUAUAAAGUCUGCUCUCUGACUGGCAUAUCAUACUGUUCUGCUCCAUGCCUGGCAUAUGACUUAAGGCCCAUAACAAGGAUGCUCACCCUCGCCCGGCUUCCUCAUUCUCUCGAGUAUUUUCAAACACUCUGAAUUUACAGUAUCCAAAUGAAUGCUGUCGUUGAAAGCAGCCGUUACGGAAGUUUGUGUACAUGUAAGAGGGUCUGACGCGCAAACACGAUGCCUUGAGAAUUUUCAAAUCCCCACAUUCACAGGGCAUUGCUGUUCGACUUUUCCCCACAACUGUUGCAAAGCUGAAGUGAAAUGGGCCUGCAGGAGGUCAGUGAGGCUCAGUCAGUGGUUAUGUGACAGGUGCCUGCAAGCUAGCCAAAAAAUUAAAAUCCAAGCUUUGGAAUAAUUGCACAUUAUCGCAUCAUGAAUGUUUAGAGUUGACAAUGAGUAAAUGUUAACUCCAACAGCCUGUUGCGCUGGAUCAGCCCUUGCUCAGGUCUCCUCUUGAGGAUGACGUGCAGUUGAUAUAGCAUGGCAGUUCAAAGCCAGGCCUUUGGAGACUGGCUCCCUUGGCCUGAAGCCUUGGCUCUGUCUUUUUCUAGCUGUGUGAUCCUGGGCUUUAUUUUCCCUUUCUGUGCCUCAGUUUCCUUUACUUUGCAGUGGCGAUGAUGUGACCUGCAUCAUGGGGUUAGUGUGGGCAUUGUGUGAAAUCAUGGGUGUCACAUGCUUAGAACAGUGUCUGGCGCAUGGUAAGAACUCAAGUGUUAGCUAUUUUUAAUACAUAUCACACUGCAAACGUUCUUAACAAGGUUCAUUUAUCUAUAGUCCCAUUGAAUUCUGUUCCUCAGUUUAAUUAUUCAUUUUCUUCACCAGAACUUGGGGUUGCACUGCUUCAUCCAUUUUCAAAUUUCAAGUUUACCUUUGAAAGAAGAGACAUUUCCAUUGGUAAGGAAGGACUGUGGCUGUUUCUGGCAGAAACAAUGGAAUGAAUACGGAACCUCCAUUAUGAUUGUUUUUAAAGGGAUAACACCCAACUUGCAUGUGUAGGUUCUGCAAUGUUGGUGUCAAACACAGUUCUAUUCCUUUAGAGUCAUACCUCAUAAAGGGUGAUAUCUUUGACUUAUUUCAUGAGAUCUCCUACUCCAUUUGUAAUUUCAUGAGCAUAUUGGGAUCUGUCCAAGAUGUCCCGUGCUGCUCUGAAUUAAACACAAGCUCCAAAAGUGUUAGAAAUAACUCCAGCUGUAAUUGCUAUCAGAGGCACCAGGAGUUGAAGCUAGCCCUUACACUUGAGACCGACUGAAAAGAUCAGUGAUCUUUGACCAAUCAUCCUUCUCAAGUGGCUUACACGCAACAGGAUUUACAGUUCUGAGAAACCGCUUUAAACUUCCUCUGCCAUCAGUUUACUUUAGCACACAAGUGAAAGAAUCAGGCAGAGACAAGGUGGUUGUGUUUUUUUCAUACAGAGAUGUGUCUCGGUUUCAUGUUUCCUUAGCAAUUAUAUUAAUACCUAAAGUUUCAUAAAGCUUUAUGCAAAAGUUUGUAAUUCUAUAGCAUCCUUAAUAGUGGUCUUUUACUUAUAUAGACGACUAGUUGGGUUAAAAUGUCAGAUAUUUCUGCAACUAAAAAAUAUUCACUGCCACAACUGAUUUUUCUUUUUCUGAAAAGCUCUCUUGUUUGCAAAAGAGGAGUUAGUGGAAUGCAAAUGGGACAAAUUGUUGCUAUAUUUUGGUUCUUUGGUUAUACAACGCAAAACUGUAGAAGACGAAAUUUGUUUUUUACGUUUUCUGGUUUCCUGUUUUAAUGCACUUCUCUACCUCUUAGCACCUCGUCCUCUGGCCUUUUUAUUGUUGCCUUCCUUUCUCUCUCUCCUGGUCCUCGACAAUAUCUGUCUGUCUCUUUCAGUUCCCAUUGGGCAGGACAUUUAGUCAUCCUGCUGUUCCCCACAGUGCCUAGAACAGUCCCCUCAAAACUCACGAGUGUGCAAUAAUCAUUUCUCCAAUUAAAUUUAAACUAUUUCUCAAUACACUGCUAAUGACCAAUGUUAGCUCAG